This 713-nucleotide long non-coding RNA is filed under the name Rattus norvegicus (Norway rat). RNAcentral's name for it is "long non-coding RNA NONRATT006516". The record is from RNAcentral. Lineage: Eukaryota; Metazoa; Chordata; Mammalia; Rodentia; Muridae.
AUCAGGUUUUCCAUAUGACUGAAAAGAAAAGGAGCUGCCUUAAAUAGUGACUCUUCAAUUUGUGAACUGUGGUGCACACUGAGCCACCCCACCGAGAUGACUUUUCAUUUGGAAUGGCACAGUACUCUAUCAAAUAUACACAUGCAUGAAAAAUAUUUUUCAAAUAAAGAUGUCCAAGUGACUUAAUUCUGGCCAGUGAAAUAUGAUCCAUCAAGGAAGGUUCCAGGAAACUUGUAAAGGGGAAAUACACGUGCAGCAAUGCCCCAUGCACUGUCUCUUUCUUCCUGCCUCUAGAUGAUCCUGGUGUCCUGCAGUUCUUUGAAAAAGCAACAGAAGCACGAAGACAUUGCAGUUUGAGAAAAAUUAACACAAAUGUGCAUUCUUUGCACCUACGACCUGUGAAGGAGCACAGAAUACACUGGAGCAUCUCUAUUCUUCUUGAUUUGAUGAUAUCAUGCACCAAUGCUUUUAAUUGUAUUCCUUGCCAAGCAGAAGACUAUUACACAAAGGAAGAAACAGAGCCUUAGAACUGAUAAGAGCUUGUGCAUUGUGAAUUGUUCCACAGUGUGGGAGAGUCCCCAAUGAACCCUUGUUCACCACUUCAUCUCCUUCAUUUUGAAAGUGUGUGCUACAACAUGCUUUGUGACUGGAUGGAGAGAUUGCCCCUCUUCAAGGUUACCACAAGUAAUUAAUACCUUCAUUUUUUUUUCUUU